Molecule: transfer RNA, 72 nt
Filed under: Cavia porcellus (domestic guinea pig)
Lineage: Eukaryota; Metazoa; Chordata; Mammalia; Rodentia; Caviidae
Rfam family: tRNA
About the family: Transfer RNA (tRNA) molecules are approximately 80 nucleotides in length.
Source: Rfam by way of RNAcentral
GGGGAUGUAGCUCCAUGGUAUAGCACUUGCCUAAUAUGCAUGAAGCCCUGAAUUCAAUCCUCAGUACUGCCA